UUUGCGAAACAGGUGUCUAGUGGCCCCUAGGUCGGUGUAAGGCUACAAGAUCCUAUUUUCUUCAUUCUAAUUCCUUUCCAGUUUGUUCAAACCCACCAAAAUCAGAUAGUUAUACCCUUAAUCACUCAUAUACAUUGAUAAUUUCAUUUUAUAUCUUUAACGACAGUUGCUCUACGUCACGAGCUUGACAUUUUGGUAUAGUUUUCUUUGUGGAUUGUGUGACGUACCUCCGUGGUGGUUGUUCCAGCAUAGGUCUUUUUGUGUUUAAACGAUUGAUCUGCAUUUCGAUCUUAAUAUCAAGUUUCAAGGGGGUUUCCGAUAUCAGAAGUUUAUUAGACACUGGAAUUCAUCAAAAAAGGUGUUAUAUUAUUGCUGUAGCUGCUCAUCUAAUGGGAAUUUCAGAACCAAAUUCUAAACCUAAUCUAGUCGAAGGAGGAUUGGUGGACCAAAAUGAACUGGGAGUAUUUAAUGUUGGUACCAGAACAUCUCAUAACCUAACAAUUGAGAAGAUUCAAGCAGAGUUGAGCAACUGCAAGAUUACACUGCUUCUUUAAUGAGCCUAUAUGAAGUUCUUUGAUUAUAAAUUACCUCGUCUAUACUUAUGGUGUGAUUUCCUUUUCUUGGCAAACCUAAUUAUGAUUGGCUAGAAGAAAACAGAGAAAUAUUAGAAUAUCUAGAGAAAGUAUGAAAGGAAGUUUAGCUCUUGUUAGAUGUUCAUAUAUCUUUUUCUUGUAUAUUUGACAUGACUCAAUUCUUUUCAUUAUAGUGCUCAGUCCACCUCAA
This is a long non-coding RNA of Solanum lycopersicum (tomato), 783 nucleotides long. RefSeq lists it as uncharacterized. The record is from RefSeq and is a predicted model, not a curated record. Lineage: Eukaryota; Viridiplantae; Streptophyta; Magnoliopsida; Solanales; Solanaceae.